AAGACUAUACUUUCAGUAAUCAUUUCUAUGGUUUGUUACUAGAGAAGUUUCUCUGAACAUGUAGAGCAUUAGAAAUCACAAGCAUUCCUAUACACCAAUAACAGACAGAGAGCCAAAUCAUGAGUGAA
Small nucleolar RNA from Callithrix jacchus (white-tufted-ear marmoset), 128 nucleotides. Its record names the gene U3. It matches the Rfam family "Small nucleolar RNA U3". Rfam says of the family: Small nucleolar RNAs (snoRNAs) are involved in the processing and modification of rRNA in the nucleolus. There are two main classes of snoRNAs: the box C/D class, and the box H/ACA class. U3 snoRNA is a member of the box C/D class. The record is from Ensembl. NCBI's taxonomy places the organism in Eukaryota, Metazoa, Chordata, Mammalia, Primates, Cebidae.